AAGCACUUUAUUUGAUUUCCUUCGGGACUGAUUAUUUGUGACUGAGUGGCGGACGGGUGAGUAACGCGUGGGUAACCUGCCUUGUACAGGGGGAUAACAGUUGGAAACGGCUGCUAAUACCGCAUAAGCGCACGGAACCGCAUGGUUCCGUGUGAAAAACUCCGGUGGUACAGGAUGGUCCCGCGUCUGAUUAGCCAGUUGGCAGGGUAACGGCCUACCAAAGCGACGAUCAGUAGCCGGCCUGAGAGGGUGAACGGCCACAUUGGGACUGAGACACGGCCCAAACUCC
This 289-nucleotide ribosomal RNA is filed under the name uncultured Eubacteriales bacterium. RNAcentral's name for it is "uncultured Clostridiales bacterium partial 16S ribosomal RNA". The stretch from base 51 to 289 matches the Rfam family "Bacterial small subunit ribosomal RNA", at positions 100 to 339 of the family's 1533-position model. Lineage: Bacteria; Bacillati; Bacillota; Clostridia; Eubacteriales. The record is from RNAcentral.